UGCAUCGGCGGGAAUCGAACCCUGGCCGCCCGCGUGGCAGGCGAGCAUUCUACCACUGAACCACCGAUGC
RNAcentral lists this transfer RNA (70 nucleotides) under Cordylochernes scorpioides. Its description in RNAcentral is "tRNA-Gly". The record is from RNAcentral. Lineage: Eukaryota; Metazoa; Arthropoda; Arachnida; Pseudoscorpiones; Chernetidae.